This 112-nucleotide ribosomal RNA is filed under the name Caerostris extrusa. Lineage: Eukaryota; Metazoa; Arthropoda; Arachnida; Araneae; Araneidae. The record is from RNAcentral.
AACGGCCAUGCCAUGCUGAAUAUACCGGUUCUCGUUAGAUCACCGAAGUCAAGCAUCAUUGGGCGCGGCCAGUACUUGGUUGGGUGACCACCUGGGAACACCGCGUGCCGUU